Molecule: ribosomal RNA, 254 nt
Filed under: uncultured bacterium
Lineage: Bacteria
Description: partial 16S ribosomal RNA
Rfam family: Bacterial small subunit ribosomal RNA
Source: RNAcentral
UACGUAGGGACCAAGCGUUGUUCGGAUUUACUGGGCGUAAAGGGCGCGUAGGCGGCUUAACAAGUCAUCUGUGAAAUCUCCGGGCUUAACCCGGAACGGUCAGAUGAUACUGCUUUGCUAGAGUGCGGAAGGGGCAAUCGGAAUUCUCGGUGUAGCGGUGAAAUGCGUAGAUAUCGAGAGGAACACCAGAGGUGAAGACGGGUUGCUGGGCCGACACUGACGCUGAUAGCGCGAAAGCCAGGGGAGCAAACGGG